UCAGGCAUGGUGUAAUGGUAACAUAUCUGCCCUAUCUGCACAAGGCACAGAUCAUCUAUUCUGUAGAGGUCACAAGUUCGAUCCUCGAUGUCUGAA
Mycena alexandri is the source of this 96-nucleotide non-coding RNA. Lineage: Eukaryota; Fungi; Basidiomycota; Agaricomycetes; Agaricales; Mycenaceae. The record is from the annotation of a GenBank genome assembly.